AACUUAUAUAGGAAGAGUCCUUCGGGACUAUGGACAUAAACGCGCUCGUAAUAAGCGGAUCGGACCCGGGGGCGGUACCCGGCGGCUCCACCAAAAUCUCUCGUUUGGGGAUCAUGGGGCCGAAAUAGGAUCGACGAACGUCUAAAGGGGUUAGCUUUGUCUCGGCUGUCUGCCACCGUUACCGGCGAAAAUAGUACAAUUGCAAACGACAAUCGUGCUCCGGUUGCAGUUGCUGCGUAAGCAGUAACAAGACCGAAACUUAAGCCCUUGCGCCUAGCCGCGUAAGGCGGGGUUCGCAGGUACCUGGCAACAGAAACCUGCAUUUUCCCAA
RNAcentral lists this transfer-messenger RNA (331 nucleotides) under Ruegeria sp. THAF57. Its description in RNAcentral is "transfer-messenger RNA, SsrA". It matches the Rfam family "Alphaproteobacteria transfer-messenger RNA". Rfam says of the family: Bacterial tmRNA, also known as 10Sa RNA or SsrA, is named for its dual tRNA and mRNA-like properties. Its role is to liberate the mRNA from a stalled ribosome. The record is from RNAcentral. Lineage: Bacteria; Pseudomonadati; Pseudomonadota; Alphaproteobacteria; Rhodobacterales; Roseobacteraceae.